GCAAAUCCCAAAAAUAAACGUCCCAGUUCGGACUGUAGUCUGCAACCCGACUACACGAAGCUGGAAUCGCUAGUAAUCGCGGAUCAGAAUGCCGCGGUGAAUACGUUCCCGGGUCUUGUACACACCGCCCGUCACACCAUGGGAGCCGGGAAUGCCCGAAGUCAGUGGCCUAACCGCAAGGGGGGAGCUGCCGAAGGCAGGCCCGGUGACUGGGGUGAAGUCGUAACAAGGUACC
Molecule: ribosomal RNA, 235 nt
Filed under: uncultured bacterium
Lineage: Bacteria
Description: partial 16S ribosomal RNA
Rfam family: Bacterial small subunit ribosomal RNA
Source: RNAcentral